Molecule: long non-coding RNA, 1636 nt
Filed under: Carica papaya (papaya)
Lineage: Eukaryota; Viridiplantae; Streptophyta; Magnoliopsida; Brassicales; Caricaceae
Description: long non-coding RNA (CPAP_LNC000018)
Source: RNAcentral
GUUGUUUUGUAGAGGGGAGGAAACGACGUCAUUUUGGAAAGGGAAAAACGACGUCAUUUUGCAAGGAGGAAAACGACGCCGUUUUGAGAAAAAAAAACUGGGGUGAUUCAAGUAGGAGGCGGGGGAAGGCAGGAAGGAGGAAAGGAAGGAAAAAGAGGGAAAAAGGGGAGCAGAGGAGAAGGGGAGCGGGAGAGAGAAAGAGGAGAGGAAGGAAGGUUCCAUAAGGAGAGAGGAGGGAGAUAGGGAAACGUUGUGGUGUGAGGACGUAGUCGGAGGGAGAGAUAAGUAGAGGCAGUGGGGGAAAAGCAGGGGAAGGGAUGAGUCCGUGGAGUGAGUGAGGCGAGAAGGACGGUGUGAUGUGAUGGUGUGGCGGGUGGUUGUAGCCGAGGGAGAGAUAGGGGAAGGCAGUGGAGGAACGCUGGAGGGAGGAAGAACCCACGGGGUGAGUGAGGUGAGAAGGAUGGUGUGACGCGACGUUGUGGCGGGAGAUUGUAGAGAGAGAGAGAGUUAGGGAGGGGCGGGGAGUGAAGGUUAGAGAAGGGAAAGAUCCACCGGAUGAGGGAGAUCCACCGGGGGAGUGAGACGCUUUGGGAAGUGGAGUUGGUUAGUUAGAACCUUGGGGGAAGAGAGACAGAAUGAGUGGGGGCAAUUAGGAUAUGUCGCAGGUGUGCGUGCGUGGCCUGGUAUAGGUCGAGAGGUGGUUAGUGGUCGCCGAUAUCGGUGACGGGAGAGAAGGACCAGUGUAUGUGUGAGUGGCCUAGUAUAGGUCGUGAGAUGACUAACGGUCGCCGAUGGUGGUGACGGGAGAGAAUGAUCAGAGCGUGUGUGAGUGGCCUGGUAUAGGUCGUGAGAUGGCUAACAGUCGCCGAUGGUGGUGACGGGAGAGAAGGAUCAGAGUGUGUGUGAGUGGCCUGGUAUAGGUCGAGAGAUGGCUAACGGUCGCCGAUGAUGGUGACGCAAGUGAAUGAAAAUGGUGUGUGUGUGUGAGUGGCCUGGUAUAGGUCAGGGGAUGGCUAACGGUCGCCGAAGGUGGUGACGAGAGAGAAUGAUUGGAGUGUGCGUGUGUGGCCUGAUAUGGGGUCGAUAGGUGACAGAUGGUCGCCGCUGUUGGUAAUGGAAAUGAGUGAGAUUUGUGUGCGUGUGUGGCCCACUAGGAGUCGAUAGGUGGUUAAUGGUUGCCAAUCUUGGCAGUGAAGGGUAUCCCUGGCACGCUUGGAGUGCCGUCGGGAACGGACGCCUAGGGUAGGUAGAAUAGUAGGUGCAGGAAGGAAAGUGUUGAGUUCAGUAGUGAACGAUUGGUAGAGGCAUAGGAUUUAUACUGUUGCAUUUCACGCAUGUAUUUUGAGUUUUACUGUACUGAGUUAAAUGAACUCACUCUUUCCUUUUUACAUAUGAUGUAGGGACGGAGUCCGGAUCGAGGCCGUUGGAUUCCGAUCCUAGUGUGUAGAGUACAGGAUGAGGAGUUUCGUUUUAUUUUAUCUGAAUGGAAUAUGUAGAAUUGAUGAUAGCAUAGAUUUUGAGUAUGGUUGUAUGGUAUGAGGUGUCUUGUAUAUGGUUGUAGGAUUGUCUUGAUCAUUGAAUGAGAGAUUAUGCUAUUGUUUCUUUGUGUAUGACCGUUUGGUUAUGAAAGUUGGUU